RNAcentral lists this transfer RNA (77 nucleotides) under Capsulimonadaceae bacterium. Its description in RNAcentral is "tRNA-His". It matches the Rfam family "tRNA". Rfam says of the family: Transfer RNA (tRNA) molecules are approximately 80 nucleotides in length. Lineage: Bacteria; Bacillati; Armatimonadota; Armatimonadia; Capsulimonadales; Capsulimonadaceae. The record is from RNAcentral.
GCGGUUGUAGCUCAGUUGGUUAGAGCGCCAGGUUGUGGCCCUGGAGGUCGUGGGUUCGAGCCCCAUCAUCCGCCCCA